Long non-coding RNA from Tympanuchus pallidicinctus (lesser prairie-chicken), 515 nucleotides. RefSeq lists it as uncharacterized. The transcript has 2 exons. Lineage: Eukaryota; Metazoa; Chordata; Aves; Galliformes; Phasianidae. The record is from RefSeq and is a predicted model, not a curated record.
CCUGGCUGCACUUCUCUUAGACCUCAUUUAAGAUCUGACUGCCACUACGGGAGGUUCUUUGGUUGGAGAUUUCUCCUUUGCGGAGUUUCUAUUGUAAGCCUGGAUCCUUGUAGAUGGAUGUUACCAGCCAUGCAACAGGAAAACAGUGAGGAGGAGAAACAGAGGGCUGAGAUGAUGGACACGUCACAGGGAGAGGGCAGGACUCGGCAGAGGCUCCUUGGGCACUGGAGCUGACAAAGAGCAGUCCCUGCCUGUAGGAGCCUGCACUCCCUGUGAUUGGAAACAGGAAACAAACCUCAGAGCUUUGUGAGGAAAUACCUUCUACCCAGGCAAUCCAGGAGACAGUUUGGGAUCAUGCUCUGGAAUUUGUCAGGGGCUGCAGGUUUUGUACUGGAAUGACAAUCAAUUCUCAUAUCUUCCCCAGUAUAUUUAAGACUUCUUCUCAAUAAAACAUUAAAUUGAGCUGUUGGAAGAAAUAAUAUGCUGAAAUUAAACUUGGUUCUAAACACAUGGAA